UCUUGUAUUGGAGAGAAUUUAGAUAAGAGUUAUGGAGAAAAUUGAAAUAAGAAGUAUUGGAGUUAUAAUGGCCGUCAUGAUUCUAUCAGUUUUGCUGCAGCUCAAUCAACGGAUAAGCUUUUGUGCUAUACCUGGUGUAAAAUCAAAUGUCUGGAAGAACCAAUUCCUGAAGAAAAUUGUUUGAAGAAUUGUGAAGCACACUGUACAUCAUCUGAUCCACUUUAUAGUUGUAUUACUAAUUGUCAGAAGUCUAUUGCCGUAAAAAAUGGUGUUGGUGAUCUUGGGAAUAAUCUGAUGAAUACUUGUAUGAAAGAGUGUAAAAAAAUAUUUUAAUUUGUAACUACAAUUUCUGACUGAGAAAUUGUUAGAAAUAAUAUUUCCUGCUGAAUUAUGAGUAAUAAAUAUUAAUAAAAAAUAAUAUUUCUUAUUUA
This is a long non-coding RNA of Vigna angularis (adzuki bean), 431 nucleotides long. RefSeq lists it as uncharacterized. The transcript has 2 exons. The record is from RefSeq and is a predicted model, not a curated record. Lineage: Eukaryota; Viridiplantae; Streptophyta; Magnoliopsida; Fabales; Fabaceae.